RNAcentral lists this long non-coding RNA (4668 nucleotides) under Gossypium raimondii (Peruvian cotton). RNAcentral describes it as "long non-coding RNA (GRAI_LNC005700)". The record is from RNAcentral. Lineage: Eukaryota; Viridiplantae; Streptophyta; Magnoliopsida; Malvales; Malvaceae.
CAUGGAUGAAUGCUUCAUUUGACUAGGCUCUUUAUAGUGCAUGGUAAGUGAUUUCAGCCUCAUUUUUAAUGAUUUUUAUGUGUUUUAGAUUGUUUUAGCUUAAUCUAGCUAGCCCGGUGGCCAAUUUGUAAAAAUGUUAAAGGUUGAGGGUUAUUCCAUGAAUGUUCUUGAAUGUUUUUUGAUGUUAAAUGAUAGAUUAUGAUUCUUCGUUGAAAAAUGAACAACUUCCGUAAAGUGAUUUUUGAUUAAUUUUGGAUUAGGGACUAAUUUGUUAAAAGUAAAUUUUAGGGUUUUAUUUUGAAAUGAUGGUAAAUAUGAGUUUUUUCAAGGUUCCUUACAUGCUUGAUUAACAUGGAUUUUGAUUAAAAUGAUUAGAUUUCAAUUUAGGAGCUUAAAGACUAAAUUGUGAAAUGUUAAAAUAUUAAGGGCAAAAUUGUAAUUUUAUAUAUGUAAUAGCCCGAUUUUAGGCCUAGUCGGAACAGUGGUUUCGGGACCACAAAUCCGACGAGAGAAAAAAAAAUGUAAUGGCCUGAAUUUUCAGAGGUGUCGGAACGGUGAUUCGAGAUCACUAAAUUCGACAAAUGAGUAGAAAAUAUUAUUAAUUUAGUAAGUAUAAGUUAAAUAUGAAGUUAGGAAAAUUUUUGAAAUAGUGAAUAGUGCACUAGAAAUAAAUAUUAAAAUAAUUAGAAUCGAAAUGAGGUAUCAAGACCUCGGGGAUUUUAAACUGAGCCAUAAAUAUUUUUAUAAAUAUUUAUGGAGUGUUAAAAAGUUAGUAUUAAAGUUUCGUUAAGAAAUUUUAAAGUUCCGAUAAUUAAUUGAGCAAAAAGGACUAAAUUGUAACAAAUGCAAAAUUUUGGGAAAUGAUUAAAUAGCUUAAAUGAUAAAAGGAAGAGGGCUUAAAAGGCAAAUAGACCCAAGGUCUAUUUGGGCUGGACGGCAGAGACAUGAAAUCAGCAAGAAAGUAAGGAGAAUUAAGGGCAAAAUUGGAAAAUUGCAAAAUUUGCUUAAUAAAGUUCGGACCCAAGUGGAAUUAUCUAGAUUUCUCUUCAUUUUUCUGAAUUCUCAUCAGCUAAAACACCAUGGAGGGGCUUCUUCAAGCUGGUUGUUCAUAUUUUUACUACAAGUAAGUUCAAUUCUUGACUAUUUCUUGAAAUUUUUGUAUUUUUAUGACUUUUACAACUAGGCUCACUUGUUAAAUUCAUUAGUUUUUAAUUUUAUGAAAGAAGUUGAAAGUUGAUAUGAAUAUGUGCUGAAAGUAUAUGAUGAUUUAGCAUGGAAUUAGAGCUUUAAAUUGUUCAUAUGCUGAUUUUAUCGAAAGAAUUGAAUAGAAAGUGAAUGUUUGGGACCUAAUAGUAAAAGAGUUUUAAGAUAGGGUUAUAUGUGGAAAUUCUGAAUUUCAAUAGUUGUGUAACAACUUAUAAUGUCUAGUAAAGUAUUAAUUGAGAAAAUUAGAUUAAUUGAGGGGUUAAUUGAGAAAGGACCGGAUUGUAUAAACUGUGAAAUUUGGGGCAAAAUGGAAAUCAACAUUUUGCAUUAAAGCAGUUUUGGACAGUAGCAGUAGUGUAACUUUGAAAAAUCACAAAAAAAUUGUAAAGAUUGAAUUAGAGGAUGAAUAAACUAUGAAAUUAAAGCUUAUUGAGUCUAGUUUCUUAUAAAAGAAACGGUGUGAGCAAUGGAAUUGUAAAUCAUAAGAUAUAAUAGAUUUUGUGAGACAAGGUCAGAAUGAAUUCGGGUUCCCCUGUUCUGACUUUGGAAAAUCAUUAAAAAUUAUAGAAAAAUGAUUAUGAGUUAUAAUUUAUAUGGUUAGAAUCCUUAAUGAGUCUAUUUUUAGAAGAAACAAAUAUAAAUAUCAUCCAAAUUCUGUACAAUGAGAUAAUUAAUUUUUAGUGAAGAAUGGUCGGAACUGUCAGACAGCAAAACAGGGGAAACUUUAAAGAAUAAAAUGUACUGUUUGGCUGAAUCAAAAAUUCUGAAAAUUUUAUGGUAAGAAUUUAUGUGAGUCUAGUUUUGGGGAAAAUUAACGGAUCUUAAUUUGGAGCUCUGUAGCUCCGGAUAAAAAUAAUUUAGUGACUCUGACUCGGAUAAACAGUUUUGAAUAUACAUGUGAGUGAAUAGUGAAAUUAUAGCUAAUGUUGUUUAAGUGUGUUAUGCACAUUAAGGAUGUGGAAUGGAGAGGAGGAGGAGGAAAAUUGGGAAAUAUAUGAAUGAUUCGUGUAUAAAUGGUCAUAUGUUUGAUUAUAACUGAUAAACGAUGAAAUAUGAAUGAUGCUUAUUUUUGUGCAUUAUUGGUCAUGGUUUAAGCUCAUGUGUGAAAAUAAAGUUUCAUAGUAUGUGUGUAUGGUAUAUUCAGUAUAUGAUUUGGCAUGAAAUAAUACCAUGAAUGGUUAAUGAAUUAACACAUGUUGGUAAGCCUGAUAUAUGAAUAAAUGAUCAAAUUGAGCGGAACGCCGGAUUUGAGUACUUCUGAUCAAGUGACAAAGUGAUAAGCGGUAGCUUUAGCUACACUUAUCUGAUCAAGUGACAAGUGAAAAGUGAUAAGUGAUAGCUUCGGCUAUACUUAUCUGAUCAAGUGACAAAGUGAUAAGUGAUAGCUUCAGCUACACUUAUCUGAUCAAGUGACAAGUGAUAGCUUCGGCUACACUUAUCUGAUCAAGUGACAAGUGAAAAGUGAUAAGUGAUAGCUUCGGCUAUACUUAUCUGAUCAAUAGACAAAGUGAUAAGUGAUAGCUUUAGCUACACUUAUCUGAUCAAGAGACAAAGUGAUAAGUGGCUACACUUAUCUGAUCAAGAAACAAAUUGAUAAGUGGCUACACUUAUCUGAUCAAGAAACAAAGUGAUAAGUGGCUACACUUAUCUGAUCAAGAAACAAAGUGAUAAGUGGCUACACUUAUCUGAUCAGUGACAAGUGAUAAGUGAUCAUACGUAAGACCAUAGUUAUACUAUGGCAAAGUGAAAGUGAAGUACUCAAUUUUCCGUAACCGUUCCCUAAUUUGAUUAAGUAUGGUAAGUGACAAAUGGGCCCAAAAGAAUUAAAGUAAAUGAAUAAGUGGUAGCGUAUUUAUAUCAGGACGAUGUUGUUAUUCAAGAUAAAGUGAUAUUUUCAUUGCAAAAUUCAGAAUUUCAUAAAUGUGUUAUUGAAUGAUAUAAUCAAUAAACAUUGAGUUAAAUGGUAAAUACGUAUUAAUGUUGAACUUGAUGUCAUUGAAUUGUACGUGAAUUAAAUGGAAAUUGCUAGUGAUAUGAUUUAAAUUGUGAGCAUGACAAAUUGCGAAUUGAAUAAAAUGGAAAUGAAGCAUUGAAUUGCAUGAGUAUGUAUCGGGUCUCAUAGGCCUUAAUUAUUAUGAUUAUAAUAUUUCGAGGAUAUAUUGUGAAAAGUUAUAGAAGCAUGUUAAUUAUUUUGAAGGUUUUAAUUUAGAUGAAAUUUUAUAACUCGGUUAAAUACGCUUACAAGUGUAUGUGUUUUGGUGAUACCUCGUACCCUAUUCCGGUGUUAGAUACGGGUAAGGGGUGUUACAAUAUAAAUAUGAAAUGAGAAUUAAAUUGAAUACUAUAAGUAUAAAAUGGAUUGAAAUUGUUUAUUUAGAUCAAAAUAAACCACGUACGAACCUAGAUUGAGGCAAAGUAAAAGCUUUAGAUUAGAUCAAUUUAACUUCUACGCCCCUAGUCGUCGAGGUAAGUUUGUAUGAACAAUUAUUGUAUUACUUAAAUUGUAUGUUAUUAUGUUAUUUAUAAUGUUAAUUGAGUGAUGUAUAAAGAAAUCAAUGCUAUGACAGUUAUCAAGUCCUAAUUGAACUUUAAGAAUUCGUAGGAUACAAAUGACAUGUCAUUAGGGAUUUCAUGUUUCAGGUACUGGUCUUGAAUGUCCUAUCGAUGGCUGAGGUCCCACAUUGUUACGGAUACUCCACAGCUCGUGUGAAUAGCAUCAUGAAGCUUACAUUUUGACUCGCAUCUUGUGUGAGCAGGCCCAUUUCACAACUCGUGUGAGCAAUGAUGUAAAGGAAAUGUUACGGUUAUAUAUAAAGGCACACUUCGUGUGAGCUUACUCGAGUAUCCGAUGAAAUUCUAGAUGAUUCAAUGGGUAAGAAAAUGGAUUGAAAUGGUAAUUAUUCAAAUGGAAUCAAGCAUGAUCUUAUGGAAAGAAUGCAUGAACUAAUUGAUGUAUUCCAUAUGAAAAAUGACUUAUAUUAUGGUUGGUUCAUUUGAUUUAUGAGCAAGUGUGCUAACUUGUGUAUUGAUGGUGAUGUAUAGGCUUAUGCCAAGCUUAUGGUUUGGGUUAUAUUAUGCUUAUGCUUUAUAUUAUGCAAAUGAAAUAGUAAGUAUGUUUUAACUUAUACGAGCUUACUAAGCAUUAAUUGCUUACAUAGUUUCUUUCCUAUGUUUUAUAGAUUGUCAGAAGCUUGAUUGAUUUAAAGCUCAUCGAAGAUCUAUCACACUAUCCAACAAAUAUAUCGAUAAUUUUUGAAUGUUUUGGCCAAGGUUUAUAAUGGCAUGUAUAGGGUGAAUUGUAAUGACAUUUUUUUGAAUGUUUAGUUGGUGAUUUGGCAUAUAUAAGUUGUGGAAGUUAACUUGGUUGGUACCAUUUGAUGUAUUGCUAGAUUAUGUCAUUUUGGUUAUCUUAUUAUGUAUGUUUUAAAUGGCUCCUAAGAUAUGUUUUGAAUUUGUAUGAUU